AUUGAACGCUGGCGGCAGGCUUAACACAUGCAAGUCGAGCGGGGUGAUGGUGCUUGCACUAUCACUUAGCGGCGGACGGGUGAGUAAUGCUUAGGAAUCUGCCUAUUAGUGGGGGACAACAUCUCGAAAGGGAUGCUAAUACCGCAUACGUCCUACGGGAGAAAGCAGGGGAUCACUUGUGACCUUGCGCUAAUAGAUGAGCCUAAGUCGGAUUAGCUAGUUGGUGGGGUAAAGGCCUACCAAGGCGACGAUCUGUAGCGGGUCUGAGAGGGUGAUCGGCCACACUGGGACUGAGACACGGCCCAGACUCCUACGGGAGGCAGCAGUGGGGAAUAUUGGACAAUGGGGGGAACCCUGAUCCAGCCAUGCCGCGUGUGUGAAGAAGGCCUUAUGGUUGUAAAGCACUUUAAGCGAGGAGGAGGCUCUUUUGGUUAAUACCCAAGAUGAGUGGACGUUACUCGCAGAAUAGGCACCGGCUAACUCUGUGCCAGCAGCCGCCGUAA
This 503-nucleotide ribosomal RNA is filed under the name uncultured bacterium. Its description in RNAcentral is "partial 16S ribosomal RNA". It matches the Rfam family "Bacterial small subunit ribosomal RNA", at positions 30 to 523 of the family's 1533-position model. The record is from RNAcentral.